AGGACGAACGCUGGCGGCGUGCUUAACACAUGCAAGUCGAGCGGAAAGGCCCUUCGGGGUACUCGAGCGGCGAACGGGUGAGUAACACGUGAGUAAUCUGCCCCUAGCUCUGGGAUAGCUCCGGGAAACCGGGAUUAAUACCGGAUACGACCACUUUAGACAUCUGUUGUGGUGGAAAGAAUUUUGGCUAGGGAUGAGCUCGCGGCCUAUCAGCUUGUUGGUGGGGUAACGGCCUACCAAGGCGACGACGGGUAGCCGGCCUGAGAGGGCGACCGGCCACACUGGGACUGAGACACGGCCCAGACUCCUACGGGAGGCAGCAGUGGGGAAUAUUGCGCAAUGGGCGAAAGCCUGACGCAGCGACGCCGCGUGGGGGAUGAAGGCCUUCGGGUUGUAAACCCCUUUCAGCAGGGACGAAGCGAAGUGACGGUACCUGCAGAAGAAGCGCCGGCUAACUACGCGCCAGCAGCCGC
This 473-nucleotide ribosomal RNA is filed under the name uncultured bacterium. RNAcentral's name for it is "SSU rRNA". It matches the Rfam family "Bacterial small subunit ribosomal RNA", at positions 26 to 518 of the family's 1533-position model. The record is from RNAcentral.